AGAUUUAUCCACGAGGAGCGAAAACUCUGCUUCGUGCGUGUUCGCCCCACUUAUAAAAAGCGUCCGAUAGACGCUUUUUCGUGGGAGCUAGAAGCUCUGAUUCAGAAAUCCCCCAUUGUUCUGCACGCUGUGCACCGUUGGUCCGUGCCGGUCCGCCAUUACGGUAGUUAAACGGGAGUAGAGGUUUUUCCGACCUGCUGAGAUUCCGAAAGGAGGAGACAGUAGAGUUUCGGACCACGAGCCGACGCCCUAUCCCGCAACUUUAGUUCGACCCUCGACGCACGUAGACCCGGCCUAGCUACGCUACUGCUGAGCCAACCCGAGCACCCCUCAUCUGGUGACUCCGCCGGCCGUCGAACAUCGCAUGCAUCCGGCGUAUCCCUCGGCGACAAGUAACGUAACGCCUCGAGCUCCAGUAGCAUAAACCCUGCGCAGGUAUGUCGACAUACAUGGCCAUGUUACACACCACAACACACACACUGUACAUAUCACCCACCCGCAUGAAUCUUUCCGAAAAUAGAAAAUGAAUACAUAGAUGAAUUCAAGUUAA
Long non-coding RNA from Aedes aegypti (yellow fever mosquito), 550 nucleotides. RefSeq lists it as uncharacterized. The transcript is spliced from 2 exons. The record is from RefSeq and is a predicted model, not a curated record. Lineage: Eukaryota; Metazoa; Arthropoda; Insecta; Diptera; Culicidae.